CCGGAGCAAACCUACGACCCGUCCUUUUUUGGACCCGUUAUUUGGGGAUCCCCUCUAAGGGGACACGUGUACGUUGGGGAGGGUGGUGCACCCUCUACAAGGGUAACGGGUCCCUAUGAAAGCUUGUUCUACCCGGUGUUUCGUUGUUAGUGCAGGAUGAGGCCAGAAAAGAGGUGAGGAAGGAGCUGUAGUACAUGGUGUUGAACUACGACCGACUUACUGUUUUUCUUUAUUCAAUCGAUCGUAGUCAAGUCUUAGAGUGUUGUGAUAAAACAUCAUAUUCUUUUGAU
RNAcentral lists this ribosomal RNA (290 nucleotides) under Triticum aestivum (bread wheat). RNAcentral's name for it is "partial small subunit ribosomal RNA". Lineage: Eukaryota; Viridiplantae; Streptophyta; Magnoliopsida; Poales; Poaceae. The record is from RNAcentral.